UAUCUCUGUAGAGUCUGCAUAUCAAUAAGCGGAGGAAAAGAAACUAACAAGGAUUCCCCUAGUAACGGCGAGUGAAGCGGGAAGAGCUCAAAUUUGAAAUCUUCAAGGUUUGACCUUGACGAAUUGUAGUUUAAAGAAGUGUUUUCGGUUAGAGGAGUAGUAAAAGUUCUUUGGAAUAGGACAUCAUAGAGGGUGAAAAUCCCGUAUUUGACUAUUCUUUCUAGCUUUGUGAUACACUUUCAAAGAGUCGGAUUGUUUGGGAAUGCAGUCCAAAAUGGGUGGUAAACUUCAUCUAAAGCUAAAUAUUGGCGAGAGACCGAUAGCGAACAAGUACCGUGAGGGAAAGAUGAAAAGAACUUUGAAAAGAGAGUUAAACAGUACGUGAAAUUGUCAAAAGGGAAGCGUUUGACACCAGUGUUGUUUUUCCGAAAAUCAAUUAAAAAUUGAUUCAUGCCAGGUUGUAUUGACCUUAUCAGCUUGCAAUUUGGUUUUGGGUCUCUUUUUGAUGCACUUUUCGGUUAACAAGUCAACAUCAAUUUCCUUUGCUGUAAAAAGGUAAGAGGAAGGUGGCUUCAAUUUCGGUUGAAGUGUUUAUAGCCUUUUAUCUCUGCAGUCGGGGAGAUUGAGGUCUGCAGCGUAGAUCCUUCGGGGCUAGAUACAUUUAUGCUAAGUUAUAGCUUUUCAUAGACAACUUGUUGACUAUGUUUAGUCAUGUAGCUUACUCGUAAGUGCUAUUUUACCUACGCUUAGGAUGUUGAAGACUCUACAGAGAUA
RNAcentral lists this ribosomal RNA (774 nucleotides) under uncultured Neocallimastigales. RNAcentral describes it as "partial large subunit ribosomal RNA". It matches the Rfam family "Eukaryotic large subunit ribosomal RNA", at positions 24 to 642 of the family's 3401-position model. The record is from RNAcentral. Lineage: Eukaryota; Fungi; Neocallimastigomycota; Neocallimastigomycetes; Neocallimastigales.